Molecule: long non-coding RNA, 12512 nt
Filed under: Malus domestica (apple)
Lineage: Eukaryota; Viridiplantae; Streptophyta; Magnoliopsida; Rosales; Rosaceae
Description: long non-coding RNA (MDOM_LNC006655)
Source: RNAcentral
UCAGUUUUAAUUCAAACGGAUAAGUAAAUAGAAUUCACAACUUAUGAACCACAACUGGAUGUAAUCAAAUCAUAUUGCAAGUCUGAACAUGGUUUCGAAUUCCCCCUAGCUAAAUAGGGGUUUAGCUACUCAUAAUUGCAACAAAAUCAGAAAAUAACAAAGUAGACAUUGAAAGCAAGAACGAAGUACACCUAAAACGCUCCAAAGUUCAAGCUUGAAAACCCAAGGACCUUUGUUUUCACCACCUUGUUGCAGUACAAGUAUCUAAGGAUGUGUAUGGAUAUAUGGAAAGGUUACGAAUGUAUUUAGGUUGGAUGGAUGCCACGACAAGGGGAAGGGAAUGUAUGGAAUUGUGUUUGAUUUUUGGUUGGAUGAGUGCCAUGGCAAGGGAAUGGAAUUGUAUGUGUUUGUGGGAUGUGGGAAUAUAUGGAUGAAUGUAAGGUCUUUUUAAUGGAUCCUAGUUAUGGUGAAGGGUGGAUGUAUUUAUAGGCUAGGGAGAGGAGUGUAUGGAGUUGUAAUGAGUGAAUGUAAUGGGUGUAGUGGGUGAGUGUUGUGGUAAUGAGUGGAUGUAAUGGGUGUAGUGGAUGUAAUGGGUGUAGUGGAUGGAUGGUGUGGUAAUGAGUGGAUGUAAUGGGUGUAGUGGGUGAGUGUUGUGGUAAUGAGUGGAUGUAGUGGUUGGUGAAUGUGUUGGGUGAAAUGAGUGGAUGUAGUGGUAGGUGAAUGGAUGUGUUGGGUGAAAUGAGUGUGCUAAAAUGGUUAUUUAUAGAGAGAGGAUGAUGCACAAACUUCAAAUUUCGUUCAUUCCUUUUGCUCAAAGCAUAUGCUAUCCAUUCCAUGCCCAAAAAUGCUCCAAAAUGCUCCAAAAUGCACUUCUUUGCCACAUUAACCCUUUGGACCUACAAACACACGAAAAUAGCUUAAAAUACUAAAAUAACUACGAACUAACAACAUAAAUGCCAAUAAACAAGCUAACUAAGUCGCAUAAAUAUGCUCCUAUCAAAUUCCCCCACACUUAGCUUUUGCUAGUCCUCGAGCAAAACAAAACAAACAAAACAAAACAAAACAAAACACAACCUAGACCUUCCAACAAUUGCCUCAGGGAUUUUUAAUGAAACAUGACAUGUUAAAAAUCAUCAUUCCCACAGAUUUUGGUCAACUUUACACUUGAGCACAUACUUAAUCAUAGUCACCACUUACUAGUUCACAAUUAACCAAUUAAAACGAUGUUUUGAAUGUAGUAACAUGCCUUAGAGAAUUUGCUCAAUUCCUUACAAGAUACUCUCUAUUUUCACACACACUUUCUGACUACACACCUUACACUAGUAUAUGUGAGAAGAUUGAUGUAAACACGAAAGACUAGGACUCACAUAUGUUAUAACAAAGAAAGCAAUUUUCUGGAGUUAUUAAGCAUGUUUAGAUAUGAUCUCAUGAAUGGAAUGCUACUACUUAGAUGCGAGAACCAGUGACACCAUAUGCUCAUACCAAUUUCGAACUCCACAAAUUGAAACACACAACACUCAAGAUUGAAGUCAAGGGUUGUAACAGGGCUUGGGGGUAAUGGCUAACAAAGAAAGGAUAGGGAUAACAAACGUUCUUAAAACGAUAGCAAGCAAAGCAAUGAAAUAGACACUUAGAAAUCACUUUAGAAUGCAAAAUCAACUUUUAAUUUCAAAGGGAAGAUUUAUGCAACACUUAGGGUCAAAUUCAAUGUUUUGAACCCUUUCUUUAACAAACAACACUUUACAGCUCUUUUUCAUACUUUUUUUUUUCAAUUCUUUUUUUUUUCUUUUCUACCCGUGCCUUAUUAAGGACUUUGGCACACACACACACACAAGAAUCACUUUCCCCACACUUGCUUUACUAUGCUUCAAGAAUAAGGGUAUGGAUGGUCCUAAAACUAGGCUAGGUAAGGAUAGUGUUGGUUAACAAAGAAAAUAGGCUUAACAAGGCUCAAUGGGGUUAAACUUAAACACAUAAUGAAAUAGGGGCACGACAAUUUGGCUUUGGUGGUCACUACAUAACUUCAUCUUGAAUAUGUGUUAUGCAAAUCAAUAGCAUGCUUUGAAUGAAAUAGGCAUGAGUUCUAGCAUUUGGAACUAAAUGAUGAAACGCCUUCUAGGUAGCAACCAGGCAAAGAAAAAUGAGAUCAUGCAACGACUUCAAGCAUGUUACAAAAACUGAUUUUUCCUUUAUGAUUGCAUGUGAAUUCAUAAUUUAUAACCACAACCAAGCAUAUAUCAAAGAGUAAAUCAAAUUCAUCCAUGUUUAUAACUCUCUUUAAUAGUCAUGUAAUUAAAAACCAAAUCCUCAUCAUUGUGUUGGAAGGUACCCUAAGACACAAACAAACACACAAAAACAACUCUUUUUGGGUUUUUCAAAAUAAUUUUUCAAAUUUUUAUGAGAUUUUCGGAUUUUUAUGUCAAAACACACUAAAACACUCCAAAACAGCAUUAAAACACUUAAAAACAGCAAGGAAGAACACUAGAAGUAAUGGGUGACAAACUCCCACGAAUUUCAUGCAAAACAACUUGGUUACCCCCCCACACUUAAAUCAAACAUUGUCCUCAAUGUUUCAGGCAAAAACUCACACAAAAACAAGCAAACAAAUAAACAACGAAUAAACAUGACAAGUAUGGCAAAGUAAAAACCAGACAGAGUAGAGUUUAAGAACGCAAAUCUGGUUAUGGAGAGAUGAUCUUGUUGAUUUUCCACAGCUUUGAUCUCGAACUGGUUUGGAAUUCUGAGCAAGGAAUAUGAGAGUUCCAUGGUUUCAAAUCAGACUCUUUCUGCUGGGUUGAUUUGAUUAUGCAGUCUGCAUUCUUCUCUGCUUGUUUCUUCUGCACGGCAGGCAGACACUAGGUAGAGGUGAUGGUCUGUUUCUUUUUUCAAUCUUUCCAAGUGCCCACCAUUUGCUUUCUUUCUCCUUGUCCAUAGCUGAGGAUGAAUUAGCACAUUGUCUCCACAUGCUUCGAGGUAUCAUUUUCACUUCCCUUAUCUGUUCCCCAGGCAGAUAUGGUAGACGAAGAAGAAGCAUAAGAUGUUGAAGAUGAGUACUCGAGAGCAAGGGUAGGUAAGCAAUCAGGAAGGGGUUCCAGGCAGUUGAUUCCAGAUCAGAAGAUUGAUACCAAGUGCUGGCUGAUUGCUCUUUUUCUUCUUAUCCCGCAGAUGAAAACAACGACAAGGAGAAUGACAGGGAGAAAGCAUGAUAUGAGAUACUCUUGCUUUCAACUUUCAUGAUAUGAAAUACUUUUGCUUUGGAUGAGUUGUUUGCAGAGGUACCCCAAGGAAUAAGGAACACUGAGUGACUCGAGAGGCUUCGUUAGGAAGGCAUUCUCGGAGAUGAAGAAAGGUUAUGUAUGUUUGCCUUGCAAUGGAGGGUGAAGGUUGACAUUUAUAGGAAUUAAUAACCGGUACUAUUCUUUCACUCUUGUCGGCAACCGUUGGAUGAUUUAACAGUAACUUCACGUGCUUUCUACUUCACAAGAAAUCUUCGACAGAUUGCCCGUAAUUUCCGUAAGGCUGAGUGUGCAUGUGACAGAUGCUGACACGCUUGGAAAAGCAAGUGCCUCUUUGAUAUCUGGAAUCGGCACUUUGACAAACUGCCCGUGAUUUCCGCAAAGCUGAGUGUGCAUGUGACAGAUGCUGACACGUCUGGAAAAGCUGACACGUCUGGCAAAGUUGAGUGGGCAUCUUCAAGUUCUGAGCUUCGUCGAGUGCAGAGGUUGCAUGUGACAAGUACGGACAAAUCUAGAAAAGAAGUUUGGCCCGUGGUUUCUGAGCAAGCCCAGCUUUUGAGAAAGCUAGCGCCUCUUCGAUUUUUGAAUUGGCCUAUUCGAUUUCUGAGCUCGCCUCUUCGAUCUCUGAAAUCCCGUUGAGUGCUGAUUUUUAUAGAGGCACGCAGUACGUUUUAAAGCAUACUUGAAUUUCUGCCUGUAAAAACCCCCUUCUUGCACUUCUAAGAUCUUGACUUGUCCGACCUCUUCUUUCUUCAACACCUUUGAAAAUGUCUGGCCCCUCCGACCAUCACUUUGACUUGAACCUUGGUGAAGAGGCAGCCAUGCCUUCUCCAGACAACAUAUGGCGCCCAUCCUUCAUAUCCCCUACUAGUCCUCUUACCGUUGGGGAUUCGGUAAUGAAGAAUGAUAUGACCGCUGCAGUGGUGGCCUGGAACCUUGUCACUCCCAAAGAUAACAGACUACUUUCCAAACGGUUUGAUGAGUUGGCUGUUAAGGAUUCUCUAGCUCUCAGUGUGCAGUGUGCAGGUUCUGUGUCUAAUAUGGCCCAACACCUAUUUGCUCGAACCCGUCAAGUUGAAUCAUUGGCGGCUGAAGUGAUGAGUCUCAAACAGGAUAUUAGAGGGCUCAAGCAUGAGAAUAAACAGUUGCACAAUCUCGCACAUAACUAUGCUACAAACAUGAAGAGGAAGAUUGACCAGAUGCAGGAAUUUGAUAGUCAGAUUUUACUUGAUCAUCAGAGGUUUGUGGGUUUGUUCCAACAACAUUUGCCUUCGUCUUCUGGGGCUGUACCGCAUAAUGAAGCUCCAAAUGAUCAACCUCUAAUGCCUCCUCCUUCUGGGGCUCCGCCAACUGCUUAGGCUCCGCCGACUACUGAGACUUCUCCUAAGCAGCCUUUGUGAAGGCUCUCUCUUGUAUUUUUCUGCUUAAUGUUCCUUUUUUUUAAAUGAAUGUAAAAUACCUUGCAUAUCUGUCAAUGUUUCAAAAAUAAACCUACACCAAAAACAAUUAAACAAGUAACAAAUAAACAUGACAAUCAUGGCAAAAUAAAACUGCAGAAAAUGGAAGGUUUUUAGGAACGCAAAACCAAUCGUGGAGUUAUUAAAAAAUCUUCCUUAUUUGAAUACAUGGGUUGCCUCCCAAGAAGUUCUUGCUUUAACGUCUUUCAGCCGGACGAUACCUCUAUUUAAGCUUGAACAGGGCCCACGGCAUGGAGGGGUACAUUCUCCAUGACAUGCUCCUCAAAAGCCUCAUAAUAGGGCUUCAAACGAUGCCCAUUCACCUUGAAUUCUUGUUGUGUCUUCAAACUUUGUAUUUGGACUGCACCAUGAGGAAAAACAUUAGUAAUAACAAAAGGACCAAUCCAUUUGGAAUGCAACUUACCCGGAAACAAACGAAGACGGGAAUUGAAGAGUAGCACUUUCUGCCCUAUAGAGAACGUCUUGCUACGAAUCAUCUUGUCAUGGAAUGCCUUCGUCUUCUCCUUGUAAAUACGUGUAUUCUCAUAAGCUUCAUUCCUAAUUUCCUCAAGCUCAUUCAAUUGAAGCUUUCUAUGAAGACCGGCGACAUCAAUGUCCAUAUUGAAAGUUUUGACGGCCCAAUGUGCACGAUGCUCUAACUCAAUGGGAAGAUGACAUGGUUUCCCAUAGAUAAGCCGAAAUGGUGACAUCCUAAUUGGUGUUUUAUAGGCAGUACGAUACGCCCACAGUGCAUCAGCUAAGCGUAAGCUCCAAUCCUUCCUUAUUGGCCCAACAGUCUUCUCUAGAAUAUGUUUGAUCUCUCGAUUUGAAACCUCAGCUUGGCCAUUUGUUUGAGGAUGGUAAGGUGUAGAAACCUUAUGGUUGACAUUGUACUUCCACAAUAACGCCUCAAUGGUCCGAUUGCAAAAAUGAGACCCUCCAUCACUUAUGAGUACCCGUGGCAUGCCAAACCUUGCAAAUAUGUUAGUUCUAAUAAAAUCUACAACCAUUUUAGAAUCAUUAGUCUGGGUGACUUUUGCUUCCACCCAUUUUGACACAUAAUCAACUGCAAGCAAAAUAUACAUGAAACUAUUCGAGGAAGGAAAGGGACCCAUAAAAUCAAUACCCUAAACAUAAAAAAUUUCAACAUUAAGGAUGGAAACCGGCGGCAUUUGAUCCCUUGCACUUAUAUUUCCUGUUCUUUGGCAUUUAUCACAUGUUAAGCAAAAAGUUCUAGCAUCCUUAAAGAUACUAGGCCAAUAAAACCCACAUUGUAACACCUUAAGUGCUGUUCUUUGUGUGCCAAAGUGACCACCAUAUGCAUAUGAAUGACAAAAGCUUAAAAUGGAAUGAAACUCAGAAUCAUGCACACAUCGAUGGACAAUUUGAUCAGGGCAAUAUUUCCACAAAUAUGGAUCAUCCCAUACAUAAAACCGUGCAUCAUUUAUAAGCUUAUCACGUUGGUGUCUAGUGAGAGUGCUUGGAAUUCGUUUAGACACCAAAAAGUUGACCAAAUCAGCAUACCAGGGUUCACUUACCUUAAUGGACAUCAAUUGUUCAUUAGGAAACGUUUCAGCAAUGGGUAGGGAAUCCUCAUUAUGCAUCAUACGGCUUAGGUGGUCAGCCACCAUGUUUUCACUUCCCUUUUUAUCUCGAAUCUCAAUGUCGAACUCUUGAAGAAGCAAUAUCCAUCGAAUUAAACUUUGGCUUGGCCUCCUUCUUGCUAAGCAAAUAUUUUAAAGCUGUAUGAUCAGUGAAAACAAUUACUUUAGUACCAAUUAAAUAUGAUCGAAAUUUAUCUAAAGCAAAGACAACGGCAAGAAGUUAUUUUUCUGUUGUGGAAUAGUUUAUUGGGCAUCAUUCAACGUCCGUGAAGCAUAGUAAAUGACAUGCGGCCUCUUAUCCUUCCUUUGUCCUAAAACAGCCCCUAAAGCAUAAUCGGAUGCGUCACACAUGAGCUCAAAAUGAAGGCUCCAAUCCGGUGGAACAAUAAUAGGAGCCGUGGUCAGUAACUCCUUGAGUUAUUUGAAGGAUGCCGUGCACUCCUUAUUGAAGUCAAACGCCACAUCUUUUUUAAGGAGAUGGCAAAGAGGUUGGGAAACCUUUGAGAAAUCUUUGAUAAAUCUUCGAUAGAAACCUGCAUGUCCAAGAAAAGAACGAACCUCUCUAACCGAAGUAGGAGAGGGUAAGUGACGUACAAGAUCGAUCUUUGAUUUAUCAACCUCCAUUCCUUUUUCAGAGAUGAUAUGUCCUAAAACUAUGCCUUGUUUAACCAUGAAAUGACAUUUUUCCCAAUUGAGAACAAGGUUAGUUUCAACACAUCGUUUUAAGAUCAAACUGAGAUUAUGCAAACAACCAUCAAAUGAAUCACCAAAAACGCUGAAAUCAUCCAUAAAAACUUCAAUAAUUUUCUCAAUAUAAUCAGAAAAUAUGUUCAUCAUGCAUUUUUGAAAUGUGGCAGGUGCAUUACAUAAACCAAAUGGCAUGCGACGAUAAGCAAAUGUACCAAAGGGGCAUGUGAAAGUGGUUUUUUCUUGGUCCUCGGGUGCUAUGACAAUUUGAUUAUAACCAGAAUAACCAUCAAGAAAACAAUAGAAAGCAUAACCCGCUAACCUCUCAAGCAUUUAAUCAAUGAAUGGCAAAAGGAAGUGGUCCUUCCUAGUGGUGGCGUUGAGCUUCCUGUAAUCGAUACACACCCUCUAACCUAUUUGGAUUCGAGUAGGUACAAGCUCAUUUUCGGCAUUUGUCACCACAGUUACUCCGGAUUUCUUUGGAACACAUUGAACGGGCAAAACCCAACGACUAUCGAAAAUAGGAUAGAUCACUCCACAAUCUAAAAGCUUGAUUAUUUCCUUCUUGACAACUUCCAUCAUCGGAGGGUUGAGUCAGCGUUGAGCCUCUCAAGAUGUUUUAGACCCCUCCUCCAAAAGUAUGCGAUGCAUGCAAGUGGUGGGACUAAUUCCUUUUAUGUCGGCCAAUGUCCACCCAAUUGCUGUACUCCCUUAGCACCCUUACCAACUUGUCCUCCUCUUUUGCCGUGAGUGUACUUGAGAUGAUGACGGGCAAUGUCUCAUCAUCGCCCAAGAAAAAGUACUUUAAAUGGCUUGGCAAUGGCUUAAGUUCAAGUGUAAGUGGCUGCACAACUGAGGGAAGUAACUUAUUAGCCGAAACUGAAAUGGAAAUUGGGUCCAAAAACUUACCAGAUUGUAAUGGCAAUGAUUCGAGGGCAGCCACCAUCUCAAUCAUGUCUUCAUUAGGGGGUACGGCAAGGGAAAAAUCAUUCAUGCUGUGGGGGUGCAUGGUUAAUGCUUCAUUGUUUUGAAUGUCCAUUCCUCGUGCAAUGACCAAUUCAAGUGCAUCGUCAUUCAAUUGUUCAAAAUGGUCCUACGCCAAAGAAGCAAAUACAUCAAUAGAAAAACAUGAGCGAUCCUCACUAGGAUACUUGAUAGAAUCAGAAAGAUUGAAAUUGAUAACUUCCCCAUCAAAUUCCAUCGUCAAAGUUCCAUUAAACACAUCAAUCUUAGUACGGGCAGUUUUCAUGAAUGGUCAUCCAAGGAGGAUGGGCAAUGUAGCGGAAUGGUCCGACUCGUCCAUUUCAAGCACGUAGAAAUCCGCCAGAAAGAUUAAGUGAUUGACCUGCACUAAAACAUCUUCCAAAACUCCUUUUGGAUAGGCAUUAAAUCGAUCGGCCAAUUGUAUAAUCACACCAUCAUUUUUCAAUUCGCCUAAGUGCAUAGAUGCAUAGAUUGAAUAAGGCAUGACAUUUAUAGAUGCACCUAAGUCUAACAUGGCAGAUUCAAAACGAGUAUUACCAAUUACACAAGGAAUGGUAAAACUACCCGGAUCCUUGCAUUUAGUGGGCAGUUUACGUUGUAAAACAACUGAGACAUUUUCACUUACCUUGACAACCUCCUUGCUCGAAAUUCUCUUCCUAGUUGUGCAGAGUUCUUUUAAAAACUUGGCAUACCUUGGAACUGGCUUAAUUGCAUCCAAAAGUGGUAUAUUGACUUGAACUUUUCUAAACGUUUCCAAAAUAUCCUUUUCAGCCUCAUCUUUCUUUGAUUGCAUAAACCUACGAGGAAAGGGUACAUUUGGAGGAACAACGUUAAAAUUGAUCAAAAUUGGAACUUCCUUACCUUUGUUGGCCGAAUUGGAUGGUUUAGGAGCAUUUGGGGCCUGUGGCAAAGGUGUUUCCACCCUUGUUGUGGGGGUGCUUUGCUUCUCUUCUUCAAUUAUCAACUCUUCAACCUUAUUGGAACGUGAUUUGGAAGGUUGGGGAUCAAAUCCAACUUGUUUUUCACUUCGUAAACUCAUGGCUUUGGCAGAUUUGAAUCCUCCAUUCGGGUUGACAACGGUUGAACUAGGCAACUUACCUUGCUCUCUGAAUUAUCCUACAAACUCCGCAAUCUGCCCAAUUUGCUUCUCCAUUUGGUCCACCCUUUUGUCUUGGUUUUGCAUUGCUUUGGCUUGAUUUUCUUGCCCCUGAGACAAAUUGGUGAGUAACUUAAGAAGUGUGUCAUUAUCUAAAGAUGUACCUGAGGUGUUUUGGGCAGGUUGUUGUGGGGCUUGUGUUGGUGCGUAUUGCUUGGUAUAGAAGCCCGGAGGUUGCUGCCUAAAGCCUUCUUGUUGUUGGGGUUGCUGGGGCUCCACUUGAAAUUUGGAUGGUUUCUCCAACCUGGAUUGUACGUAUUAGAAUAUGGAUCGUUCCUUGGCUGGUUUUGACCUUGAAAUCCAAUUGCAUUGGCGCUUUCCCAUCCACCAUUUUCAAUCAAUUGAGGGCACUUUUCAGAGACAUGUCCUUGGAUAGAACACACACCACAUACACUUGGUUCUUUCAUCCUCAUUCCUUCGGCCAUCUAAGACACAAUGGAAGUAAGAUUAGCUAAUUACGAUUGAAUGUCGAAUGUGGAACUUACCUUAUUCACUUGCUGCAGUGGGGUGUCCUUUUGCCCAAUGCCUUCAUAUUGUUAUGCAUUCAAUGUACGAUUUGCGAUUAGUGUCUUGGCAGCCAUAGGUGUUUUGUCCACCAAAGCUCCUUCCACCGAGGCAUCUAGCAUUUGGCGUUCAAUUGGUAGAAGCCCUUCAUAGAAAUAUUGAAGAAGAAGCUCCUCCUUCAUCUGGUGCUGUGGACAUGAAGCAACAAGGGUUUUAAAACGCUCAUAGUAAGUGGGAAAUGAUUCACCUUGGUUUUGCUAAAUGCCACUAAUCCUUUUACGUAGUAGAAUGACUCGAGAAGUUGGGAAAAACUUCUCUAAAAAUGCCCAUUUCAUACUCUCCCAUGAUGUGAUAGUUCUGGGGGCUAGCUCAUACAACCAAUCUUUAGCAUUUUCUAAGAGAGAAAAGGGAAAAGCCUUCAUCUUAAAAAUGCUCCCAUCAACAUUCACAGGAGUCAUACUCGAGCAAACAACCUCAAACUCCUUCAAGUGUUUAUUAGGAUCUUCCAUGGACAUCCCGUGGAACUCAGGAAUGUGAUGCAACAAACUUGAUUUCAAUUCGAACUCAUCCGUCUUCCCUAGGGCAUCCAUGGGGUAUUGGAUAGAUAGGGGAGCGGCAUUGUCCAAUCCCGAAGCGGAAAGCUCCUUGAUUGUUCGAUUGUCCGCUGCCAUGUUGGGAUCUUCCUCUACAACCUGUGCCGUGGGCUCCUCUUCUUCUUCAAGUGGAUGUUCUUCAAAUUCAGGUUCAGGAAUAGGUGGGUUACAAUCUUGCUGAUUCCUAUUCCUUCUCAAAGUCCUCUCAAAAUCGUCGUCAAAGUCCAAGAUAUACUCACGAACCGGAUGAGAAGUCUGAGUCAUAAACUAGUACCUAAGACAAGAAAACAAACAACGUCAGUAACUAACAUAAAAGCACACGAAAAUAAACAAAAAGAAAUAACAAGGGAUUAGCAAAGUUGCUAAUCCCCAGCAACGGCGCCAAAAAUUUGAUGCUAAAAUUAACUUAACACACAAAUUAAACCUUCUUGUAUCAAUUGUAGUAAAGAAUGUAAGUAGGGAUCGUUCUAAACCGGGGAUUAGGAGGGCUUGCUAAUAACCUCUAAACUGACUUUGAUAACAUAUAAACAAAGUUAAAAAUACUAAACUAGACUCAAAGAACUCAAAACCAACUCAAAAGACUCAAAACAAGCUAAAAACGCUCAAAUCUGCCUAAAAACACAAACUGGGCAGAUUUGGACUCUAAACGCACUUUUGGACGAAUUUUGGUUUUAAAUUGGUUCGAAACACUUAAAAACACAAACUAAAUCAGUUUCUAACUAAUAUGACUCAACAAGGUAAAGGGGGUUUUGGUUUUGACGAAUUUGAAAACAAAACAAGUAAAUUAAAGAACUAAUGAAAUAUGCACGAAUUUGAGUAAAUUGAAUGGAUGGAAGGCUAGCUAGGAGGUUCUUCUCCACACAUGGCACAUUUGCAAACAAAACGAUUUCCAGUUGCUUUUCAAUAAACUACUGAUUCUCAACGCCCCAGAUUAACUGUGAAUUGCACUAAUUAACCCUCAGAUUUUCCUAAUUUCAUUGAAUUGAAUGAUUGCAUACAACAACCCAAAGCAUUCCCCACAAGUUCCCUACAUGAAUCGCAUAAUAGAGAUACGAGCAAAGAUCAUUAAGUUCUAUGAAAAUCAUAAGCAUUGACGAGGCACUUGUAACUAUGAAUUGCAUGAAACUUAUGCCAAGAAUUUACUUAACGUGAUUGUGACAAGCAACCUUCACUACUUGUGAAUAUAAGUUCAUAACGAUUAGGUGAAACUCUCUUAUAUCCUAGCAUCAGAUUUAUGCAUGAAAAUUAAACGUGCACUCUCAACCAACACACAUAAAUCAGUUUUAAUUCAAACGGAUAAGUAAACAAAAUUCACAACUUAUGAACCACAACUGGAUGUAAUCAAAUCAUAUUGCAAGUAUGAACAUGGUUUCGAAUUCCCCCUAGCUAAAUAGGGGUUUAGCUACUCAUAAUUGCAACAAAAUCAGAAAAUAACAAAGUAGACAUUGAAAGCAAGAACGAAGUACACCUAAAACGCUCCAAAGUUCAAGCUUGAAACGCAAAGGACCUUUGUUUUCACCACCUUGUUGCAGCACAAGUAUCUAAGGAUGUGUAUGGAUAUAUGGAAAGGUUAUGAAUGUAUUUAGGUUGGAUGGAUGCCACGACAAGGGGAAGGGAAUGUAUGGAAUUGUGUUGGAUUUUUGGUUGGAUGAGUGCCACGGCAAGGGAAUGGAAUUGUAUGUGUUUGUGGGAUGUGGGAAUAUAUGGAUGAAUGUAAGGUCUUUUUAAUGGAUCCUAGUUAUGGUGAAGGGUGGAUGUAUUUAUAGGCUAGGGAGAGGAGUGUAUGGAGUUGUAAUGAGUGGAUGUAAUGGGUGUAGUGGGUAAGUGUUGUGGUAAUGAAUGGAUGUAAUGGGUGUAGUGGGUGAGUGUUGUGGUAAUGAGUGGAUGGUGAGUGUUGUGGUAAUGAGUGGAUGUAAUGGGUGUAGUGGAUGGAUGUUGUGGUAAUGAGUGGAUGUAAUUGGUGUAGUGGGUGAGUGUUGUGGUAAUGAGUGGAUGUAGUGGUAGGUGCAUGUGUUGGGUAAAAUGAGUGGAUGUAGUGGUAGGUGAAUGUAUUGGGUGGUUGUAAUGAGUGGAUGUGUUGGGUGAAAUGAGUGGAUGUAGUGGUAGGUGAAUGGAUGUGUUGGGUGAAAUGAGUGUGCUAAAAUGGUUAUUUAUAGGGAGAGGAUGAUGCACAAACUUCAAAUUUCGUCCAUUCCUUUUGCUCCAAGCAUAUGCUAUCCAUUCCAUGCCAAAAAAUGCUCCAAAAUGCUCCAAAAUGCUAAAAUGCACUUCUUUGCCACAUUAACCCUUUG